CCUAGAGUUGUAGGCUUUGCCUGCUAUCUCUUACCCAUGUCUUUUGAGUACCUUACGUUUCCUCGGUGGGUUCGCCCACCGAUUGGACAAACUUAAACCCUUUGCAGUUGAAAUCAGCGUCUGAAAAAACUUAAUAGUUA
Molecule: unclassified non-coding RNA, 140 nt
Filed under: soil metagenome
Description: partial internal transcribed spacer 1
Source: RNAcentral